This 331-nucleotide unclassified non-coding RNA is filed under the name soil metagenome. Its description in RNAcentral is "partial contains 5.8S ribosomal RNA, internal transcribed spacer 2, and large subunit ribosomal RNA". The stretch from base 5 to 119 matches the Rfam family "5.8S ribosomal RNA", at positions 40 to 154 of the family's 154-position model. The record is from RNAcentral.
GAUGAGAACGCAGCGAAAUGCGAUAAGUAGUGUGAAUUGCAGAAUUCAGUGAAUCAUCGAAUCUUUGAACGCACAUUGCGCCCUUUGGUAUUCCUUAGGGCAUGCCUGUUCGAGCGUCAUUUAAACCUUCAAGCUAAGCUUGGUGUUGGGUGACUGUCCGCUUCACGGCGGACUCGCCUCAAAAUUAUUGGCGGCCGGUACAUUGGCUUCGAGCGCAGCAGAAACGCGAACUCGGGCCCGUCGUAUUGGCUCCCAGAAGCUAUCUUCACAAUUUUGACCUCGGAUCAGGUAGGGAUACCCGCUGAACUUAAGCAUAUCAAUAAGCGGAGGA